Molecule: transfer RNA, 76 nt
Filed under: Armatimonadota bacterium
Lineage: Bacteria; Bacillati; Armatimonadota
Description: Armatimonadetes bacterium (activated sludge metagenome) tRNA-Ile
Rfam family: tRNA
About the family: Transfer RNA (tRNA) molecules are approximately 80 nucleotides in length.
Source: RNAcentral
GGGACUGUAGCUCAGCGGUUAGAGCAGGUGGCUCAUAACCACUUGGUCGCGGGUUCGAACCCCGCCGGUCCCACCA